This 442-nucleotide ribosomal RNA is filed under the name uncultured bacterium. RNAcentral describes it as "partial 16S ribosomal RNA". It matches the Rfam family "Bacterial small subunit ribosomal RNA", at positions 338 to 795 of the family's 1533-position model. The record is from RNAcentral.
CCUACGGGAGGCAGCAGUGGGGAAUAUUGGGCAAUGGGCGCACGCCUGACCCAGCAACGCCGCGUGAAGGAAGAAGGCUUUCGGGUUGUACACUUCUUUUUAGAGGGAAGAGCAGAAGACGGUACCUCUUGAUUAAGCCACGGCUAACUACGUGACAGCAGCCGCGGUCAUACGUAGGUGGCAGGCGUUUUCCGGAUUUACUGGGUGUAAAGGGCGUGCAGCCGGGAAGACAAGUCAGAUGUGAAAUCCCGCGGCUCAAACGCGGAACUGCAUUUGAAACUGUUUUUCUUGAGUACCGGAGAGGUCAUCGGAAUUCCUUGUGUAGCGGUGAAAUGCGUAGAUAGAAGGAAGAACACCAGUGGCGAAGGCGGAUGACUGGACGGCAACUGACGGUGAGGCGCGAAAGCGUGGGGAGCAAACAGGAUUAGAUACCCGAGUAGUC